AUGAUUUCACAGACUCUCUUGAUCUGGCUCCUUGUGUUCUGCAUUCAGGAUGCCAAAGGACAGCUUGUGGUGACUCAGACUCCAGAAUCCCUGGCAGUGUCUCCUGGAGACACAGUCACUAUCCGCUGCAAAGCCAGUUCCAGUGUUGGCAGCUACAUGGCCUGGUACCAACAGAAAUCAGGACAAGCUCCAAAGCUCCUCAUUCACAGCGCCUCCACCCGUCCCUCUGGAAUCCCAGACCGGUUCACAGGCAGUGGGUCAGGCACUGACUUCACAUUUACCAUCAGCCGAGUAGAAGCUGAUGAUUCUGGAGAUUAUUACUGUCAAGCUACUGGCACACAGUGA
Molecule: non-coding RNA, 345 nt
Organism: Pelodiscus sinensis (Chinese soft-shelled turtle)
Lineage: Eukaryota; Metazoa; Chordata; Testudines; Trionychidae
Source: the annotation of a RefSeq genome assembly